This 2930-nucleotide ribosomal RNA is filed under the name Shigella sonnei. Its description in RNAcentral is "23S ribosomal RNA". It matches the Rfam family "Bacterial large subunit ribosomal RNA". The record is from RNAcentral. Lineage: Bacteria; Pseudomonadati; Pseudomonadota; Gammaproteobacteria; Enterobacterales; Enterobacteriaceae.
GGGUUGUGAGGUUAAGCGACUAAGCGUACACGGUGGAUGCCCUGGCAGUCAGAGGCGAUGAAGGACGUGCUAAUCUGCGAUAAGCGUCGGUAAGGUGAUAUGAACCGUUAUAACCGGCGAUUUCCGAAUGGGGAAACCCAGUGUGUUUCGACACACUAUCAUUAACUGAAUCCAUAGGUUAAUGAGGCGAACCGGGGGAACUGAAACAUCUAAGUACCCCGAGGAAAAGAAAUCAACCGAGAUUCCCCCAGUAGCGGCGAGCGAACGGGGAGGAGCCCAGAGCCUGAAUCAGUGUGUGUGUUAGUGGAAGCGUCUGGAAAGGCGCGCGAUACAGGGUGACAGCCCCGUACACAAAAAUACACAUAUUGUGAGCUCGAUGAGUAGGGCGGGACACGUGGUAUCCUGUCUGAAUAUGGGGGGACCAUCCUCCAAGGCUAAAUACUCCUGACUGACCGAUAGUGAACCAGUACCGUGAGGGAAAGGCGAAAAGAACCCCGGCGAGGGGAGUGAAAAAGAACCUGAAACCGUGUACGUACAAGCAGUGGGAGCACGCUUAGGCGUGUGACUGCGUACCUUUUGUAUAAUGGGUCAGCGACUUAUAUUCUGUAGCAAGGUUAACCGAAUAGGGGAGCCGAAGGGAAACCGAGUCUUAACUGGGCGUUAAGUUGCAGGGUAUAGACCCGAAACCCGGUGAUCUAGCCAUGGGCAGGUUGAAGGUUGGGUAACACUAACUGGAGGACCGAACCGACUAAUGUUGAAAAAUUAGCGGAUGACUUGUGGCUGGGGGUGAAAGGCCAAUCAAACCGGGAGAUAGCUGGUUCUCCCCGAAAGCUAUUUAGGUAGCGCCUCGUGAAUUCAUCUCCGGGGGUAGAGCACUGUUUCGGCAAGGGGUCAUCCCGACUUACCAACCCGAUGCAAACUGCGAAUACCGGAGAAUGUUAUCACGGGAGACACACGGCGGGUGCUAACGUCCGUCGUGAAGAGGGAAACAACCCAGACCGCCAGCUAAGGUCCCAAAGUCAUGGUUAAGUGGGAAACGAUGUGGGAAGGCCCAGACAGCCAGGAUGUUGGCUUAGAAGCAGCCAUCAUUUAAAGAAAGCGUAAUAGCUCACUGGUCGAGUCGGCCUGCGCGGAAGAUGUAACGGGGCUAAACCAUGCACCGAAGCUGCGGCAGCGACGCUUAUGCGUUGUUGGGUAGGGGAGCGUUCUGUAAGCCUGCGAAGGUGUGCUGUGAGGCAUGCUGGAGGUAUCAGAAGUGCGAAUGCUGACAUAAGUAACGAUAAAGCGGGUGAAAAGCCCGCUCGCCGGAAGACCAAGGGUUCCUGUCCAACGUUAAUCGGGGCAGGGUGAGUCGACCCCUAAGGCGAGGCCGAAAGGCGUAGUCGAUGGGAAACAGGUUAAUAUUCCUGUACUUGGUGUUACUGCGAAGGGGGGACGGAGAAGGCUAUGUUGGCCGGGCGACGGUUGUCCCGGUUUAAGCGUGUAGGCUGGUUUUCCAGGCAAAUCCGGAAAAUCAAGGCUGAGGCGUGAUGACGAGGCACUACGGUGCUGAAGCAACAAAUGCCCUGCUUCCAGGAAAAGCCUCUAAGCAUCAGGUAACAUCAAAUCGUACCCCAAACCGACACAGGUGGUCAGGUAGAGAAUACCAAGGCGCUUGAGAGAACUCGGGUGAAGGAACUAGGCAAAAUGGUGCCGUAACUUCGGGAGAAGGCACGCUGAUAUGUAGGUGAAGUCCCUUGCGGAUGGAGCUGAAAUCAGUCGAAGAUACCAGCUGGCUGCAACUGUUUAUUAAAAACACAGCACUGUGCAAACACGAAAGUGGACGUAUACGGUGUGACGCCUGCCCGGUGCCGGAAGGUUAAUUGAUGGGGUCAGCGCAAGCGAAGCUCUUGAUCGAAGCCCCGGUAAACGGCGGCCGUAACUAUAACGGUCCUAAGGUAGCGAAAUUCCUUGUCGGGUAAGUUCCGACCUGCACGAAUGGCGUAAUGAUGGCCAGGCUGUCUCCACCCGAGACUCAGUGAAAUUGAACUCGCUGUGAAGAUGCAGUGUACCCGCGGCAAGACGGAAAGACCCCGUGAACCUUUACUAUAGCUUGACACUGAACAUUGAGCCUUGAUGUGUAGGAUAGGUGGGAGGCUUUGAAGUGUGGACGCCAGUCUGCAUGGAGCCGGCCUUGAAAUACCACCCUUUAAUGUUUGAUGUUCUAACGUGGACCCGUGAUCCGGGUUGCGGACAGUGUCUGGUGGGUAGUUUGACUGGGGCGGUCUCCUCCUAAAGAGUAACGGAGGAGCACGAAGGUUGGCUAAUCCUGGUCGGACAUCAGGAGGUUAGUGCAAUGGCAUAAGCCAGCUUGACUGCGAGCGUGACGGCGCGAGCAGGUGCGAAAGCAGGUCAUAGUGAUCCGGUGGUUCUGAAUGGAAGGGCCAUCGCUCAACGGAUAAAAGGUACUCCGGGGAUAACAGGCUGAUACCGCCCAAGAGUUCAUAUCGACGGCGGUGUUUGGCACCUCGAUGUCGGCUCAUCACAUCCUGGGGCUGAAGUAGGUCCCAAGGGUAUGGCUGUUCGCCAUUUAAAGUGGUACGCGAGCUGGGUUUAGAACGUCGUGAGACAGUUCGGUCCCUAUCUGCCGUGGGCGCUGGAGAACUGAGGGGGGCUGCUCCUAGUACGAGAGGACCGGAGUGGACGCAUCACUGGUGUUCGGGUUGUCAUGCCAAUGGCACUGCCCGGUAGCUAAAUGCGGAAGAGAUAAGUGCUGAAAGCAUCUAAGCACGAAACUUGCCCCGAGAUGAGUUCUCCCUGACCCUUUAAGGGUCCUGAAGGAACGUUGAAGACGACGACGUUGAUAGGCCGGGUGUGUAAGCGCAGCGAUGCGUUGAGCUAACCGGUACUAAUGAACCGUGAGGCUUAACCUUACAACGCCGAAGGUGUUU